AGAGUUUGAUCAUGGCUCAGAUUGAACGCUGGCGGCAGGCUUAACACAUGCAAGUCGAGCGGAGCGAAGGUGCUUGCACCUUAGCUUAGCGGCGGACGGGUGAGUAAUGCUUAGGAAUCUGCCUAUUAGUGGGGGACAACAUUCCGAAAGGAAUGCUAAUACCGCAUACGCCCUACGGGGGAAAGCAGGGGAUCUUCGGACCUUGCGCUAAUAGAUGAGCCUAAGUCAGAUUAGCUAGUUGGUGGGGUAAAGGCCUACCAAGGCGACGAUCUGUAGCGGGUCUGAGAGGAUGAUCCGCCACACUGGGACUGAGACACGGCCCAGACUCCUACGGGAGGCAGCAGUGGGGAAUAUUGGACAAUGGGCGCAAGCCUGAUCCAGCCAUGCCGCGUGUGUGAAGAAGGCCUUUUGGUUGUAAAGCACUUUAAGCGAGGAGGAGGCUACUUGGAUUAAUACUCUAGGAUAGUGGACGUUACUCGCAGAAUAAGGCACCGGCUAACUAUGUGCCAGCCGCCGCGGUAAU
Molecule: ribosomal RNA, 523 nt
Filed under: uncultured bacterium
Lineage: Bacteria
Description: bacterial SSU rRNA
Rfam family: Bacterial small subunit ribosomal RNA
Source: RNAcentral